Molecule: ribosomal RNA, 360 nt
Filed under: Salmonella enterica subsp. enterica serovar Amager
Lineage: Bacteria; Pseudomonadati; Pseudomonadota; Gammaproteobacteria; Enterobacterales; Enterobacteriaceae
Description: partial 23S ribosomal RNA
Rfam family: Bacterial large subunit ribosomal RNA
Source: RNAcentral
UGUUUCGGCUAGGGGGCCAUCCCGGCUUACCAACCCGAUGCAAACUGCGAAUACCGGAGAAUGUUAUCACGGGAGACACACGGCGGGUGCUAACGUCCGUCGUGAAGAGGGAAACAACCCAGACCGCCAGCUAAGGUCCCAAAGUCAUGGUUAAGUGGGAAACGAUGUGGGAAGGCCCAGACAGCCAGGAUGUUGGCUUAGAAGCAGCCAUCAUUUAAAGAAAGCGUAAUAGCUCACUGGUCGAGUCGGCCUGCGCGGAAGAUGUAACGGGGCUAAACCAUGCACCGAAGCUGCGGCAGCGACGCUGAUGCGUUGUUGGGUAGGGGAGCGUUCUGUAAGCCUGCGAAGGUGGCCUGUGAG